RNAcentral lists this ribosomal RNA (390 nucleotides) under Triticum aestivum (bread wheat). Its description in RNAcentral is "partial small subunit ribosomal RNA". Lineage: Eukaryota; Viridiplantae; Streptophyta; Magnoliopsida; Poales; Poaceae. The record is from RNAcentral.
AUGCCAGUAAUGGCUCCCACGCAGCCCCAAUAUCAUCGUGACCGGGAGCGGAGAGAUGCACAUCCGAUGCAUGAAGUGGUCAGACUGUGUGGUGGUAUCGCAUGCUAUAGCGUAAAAGCAAAGUUCAUGCCACAUAUUUCCCCAGAAGAUGAGUGCAUGUCCUUUGAUUUCGAGAAAGUGUGCGUCGUUGAUCACUCACUUUCGAUAAACAAAGUCGCACAGGACCACCCAAAUUCCAAGCAGCAUGCAACAAAUUCAGUGUUGUACCAAAUUUCACUUUUAUCAUUUAUGGAAAAGUUGAAAUUUGUCCAGUUACUACUGAAAAAAUAUAGGGGAUUUUUUAAUUCGGCAAAAAAUGUGCCAACAACUGCAAUAAUCUUACAGUCAUAG